AGUACAUGUAUUAGGGGUAGUCGAUAUUUGAUUUUUACUCUAGAUAUAUAUAUGGUAGAGUAAAAAGGUUCAUGAUGAACUUGGUAUGUAUGAUUCAUGAGAUUUGGUGUAUGGGAUUUGAAUAUGCUUUAGUUUAUGAGGUUUAGGUAUAGUUCAUAUGAGAUUUGAAUAUGGUUGGUGUAUGACACAUAGGAUUUAAUGUAUGGUUCAUGGGAUUUGGUUAUGAACUUGGGUAUGGUUCAUGGGAUAUGAUGUAUGGUUCAUGAGGUUUGGUUUAUGGUUCAUGAGGUUUGGUUUAUGGUUCAUGAGGUUUGGUAUAUUGUUCGUGAGGUUUGGUUUAUGGUGUAUGAACUUGGGUAUAAUUCAUAGAUUUGGUUCAUGGUUCGUGAGAUUUGUGUAAGGACGGAGAUUUGACAGAGUAGCUAAACUCUUUGUUGACGAUGUUUUUGUGUGUAAUUUAAUUACAUAAUCACUCGUCAAGUUUCAGGAGAAAACGAGUAAGAAUGGAGAAGUUAUACGACCUUUACUAAUCACUUAAAGUGAAUAGUAACUCCGAUUUUCCGAAGAGGCCAAUCAGUGGAGAUGGCUUCUGGUGCGUAUUGGACUCCGUUCAUAGUGAUCCAAUAGCUCAUUUUCGAUGGUUCGACUAUCCUGGACCUCAUGGCACUGAUGGAUUUGGGUUUUGAUGCACAGUUUACGAGAAAAGGGGAGUUUAUUGGAUUUACACAUAUUUAGGUGUGGUUUUUGGAAAAUUGGAGAGUGUAUGGGUUUCGUCGUGAAUCUGUGACCAAAACAGGUGAAACAAAAUCGUAGUUUCGAUGCCCCGGUCGUGUUGAACGCAAUGAUGUAACCCGUUCGAAAAUUCGAAGGACGGAUCGCUAGAUAUCAUCGUUUAUCGAGAAAGGGUCAAAUUGAUCAUUUUCGUAUUUCGUGCGAAACCCCUUAUAUUUUAUGCGUGGAAUUUCAUGAAACUUGGUGGGUCAUGGCGCGAGGCUGUCAUGCAUUCAUGGUCAGGGUCUCGGCUAAAAAUGUUGUGGUUUGAGGGAGUUACGCGCGAUUUACUCAUUGCUAUAAAAGAGAGUUUCUAGGGUUUCAUCAUGGAAACCCUAACCCUAGCCUCCAACACCCUCAGCUGAGCCCUAGCUGUCGAUCCCCUCCUGCUCAGGUCCCUGCGUGCUGCCGUCGCCGCCGACCAGCCCCGCCCGGCCGGAGUGGAUGCGGAGCUCUCCAUCUCCAUCUCCCUCUCUUCCUGUCAGGUUGGAGAAAAAGCACAGGGCAACAUUGCCUCCUUUGCUUGCCAUCGGCGUCGCCCCGACCGCAGCCAAGGCUUACUCGGCCGUCGCGCCCCCGAUGUGCGCCGCUGCAGCCCCCGGCCGGGCUGGACGAACUCAGGCCGAGGGAGCUUCUCCCUCCCCUCGCGCCUCCGCCGCAAGAGACCGCUCCUACCGCCUCCCCUAAAGCCUAGGCAACCUCCGCCGCCGGCCGUAGCCGCCCCGAGCGCCGCCACGCCAUUGCUACCAACCCGCGGCGAGCCCAUAAUGGGUAUGGCCGUGUCACGCCCUGGGGUCUCUUUUUUAUUAUAAAAAAAAUUAUUAUUUUUUUUAUAAACCUGACCCCCAGGAUAUGCGAGAUCCGCCACAAAUAUAGGAAGUCCACUGUUCACAUGGACAGAGUCUCCCCUGUAUUUGCAUGGCGUUGCACUAUUACAAUAUACACAAUACAGGUUACAACCACCAUCUAUGAACAUACACAUAUUCAUCCACCAUUCACAUUCACAUUCACAUUCAAAAUUUAUCUAUAAAUCUACAACUAUUAGUUUAAAAUGUUUCCUAUCUAGAAACUCGUUUUAAAACACUAAGUCAUGAUAACCAAGAAAAUGCCUUUUUAAAAACCGUUUCCCACACAGAAAUCUUUUCCUUUUAAAACUCGCUACCACGAGGGAUAGAAAACUAUUUUCAGUUUACAAGAAUCACAAAUCCUUUAUUACAUUCAUAAAAUCCGAAUAAUUCAAUUCAUAUAAAAUACUGAACCAUAAAUGCUGUCUAAGUCAUUUAUUAAAAGAAACUGAGUUAAGAGUUAAACCAAAUGACGGGACGGUGUCUCUAAUGAUUGCUAAGUACGCUCCUCAUGAUCCGUCCCACUACGACCCGCGACGUCACCUGUAAUGAGGGUGGGGGGUUAGAACAUGUACACAUGUUUCCCCUCCCAGUGGGUACUGCAAGCCAACGAGGGCAAUGGGCACCAGUCAAGAAGAAUAAACAACAGUAUGGGUAAGUGUAAACAGUAACAACGAUAAUAUAGAAACGAAAUGUAUAAAUGAAUAACUACUGCUACUGUAUGCAUGCAUCAACCGGACGACAAGUCCAAAAAUACCAAAUCUGAAACUGCCAUAUUGGUCCGCACACCUCAGGCCUAUGCCACAACUGCUCUAAUCUGUAACUGACCCCAGCAUAAGCUCUUGGGUCUAAAAGCAUAUAACCCUAGCAUAAGCUCUUGGGCACAUAGGCUAGCACACCCAACCACUUUUCCGGAAAAGAACACCCUCUUGCAGUGGAUUAGACUACUGGUGUUCGUGAAAUGCAUACGAGCAGUGGCGAUCGAUACUAAUAUGCUCAAUAGCAGACCAUCAGCAACUAGCCGACAAUCUUACCCCUCUGGGUAUACCGACCGUAUCACACCCCGGAUUAAUCGUUUCCUCGGGCUCGCUAACAGACCGGCCGUAUACAUAGGUAUUUUCCCUGUAUAUGAAGCGAAAAGUAAAAGUAUUUGUAAUUAUACAAUACUACAAAAUGUAGUAUAGAGCAGUUAGAAAAAAUAAACCAUAUAUAAGUUGUGGUCCAAUACAUACAUAUCAUCCAAGGUAUACAAAUACUCGCUCUCGCGAGAAACAACAACUGUAUGUAAAGACCUAAAAACUACAACUACCUGUAGCUAGUGCUCCUCUAGCUCUGCAACUCGACUGGAAGGGCUCUAACUCGUGACGCCCUUGCCACGAUCAAGAUCAGCAACAGCAGCGGCCGAAGACGACGGCUCUGCAAAACAGUGGUAACAACUGGGCAUGAGAACUACUGUAAAAACAAGUAGUCUUCAGUGGGUACCGCCCUCGAACUCAUCGGUUCACCCACUAAGCUACAGAUCUAAGCUCAGUGAUAGAAAAGGAAGCUGGAACAAAUCUACAGCUAUAUGUUACUAUCCUAUUAUGAUCCAACACUAUUAUCUGUAGAGUAAUGCAACCUCAGACCCAAAUCCAUAGGGACUGUGAAUACACCUGUCCCAGGGACUGUGAAUGCACCCGUCCCGCCUGUCGAAUCCUAAAUGCUAUCUCCACACUAAUCAGUCCGUGGAGAGCAAGUCCAAACCAGGACACUACACAACACAAAUGCACAAAGCCCACUCCGGAGUGGCACUCGUGGGCGCUACCCAACCGAGUAUGCAAGCGUAUCUCUACUAAGCUCAAUCAGGCUCUCACAGGCUAUAAUCAAGUAAACAGGGUCCAACUGGUCUAACAACCAAAACUCACGUGCCCUCGGCACAUACUGAUGCAAAACCCGCAAUCUGGUUCCACCAUCAACCCCGACAGCACCCGACAGUCUGAAACAGCCUAAAUACUGCUAUAAAAAUAAGCUCGGCAUCUCCGCAAGAGCGUAACUGCAUUCUACACUAUUCCGGGUAUCCACAGCCAACAAACUGUGGUGAUACAGAUCUACUACAGCUCCUAAGCUUUCAGCGUAUCAAAUGCACACAACAGUGUGGAUACUAUCCGCGACAACUCCCGAAGCUAUCUGAGUAUCAAAUGCGCACUAACAAUGGGGAUAUGAAGCACAACAGCUUAAGAAGCGAACAGAAAGGACAAUGUAGAACCUAUAGUUAAAUAUUAUCCAAGCUCGGCAUCCCGCCCGAGUGUAAAUGCAUUCUAAACUACCCUAAGUAUCCACUGCGCUGAAACUGCGGUGAUACAAACCAACCCCGGCUCCUAGAGCUAAAUCAGGUACUUUAAGCAUAUGACGAGUCAAAUCGCUGGUUCUCUCCUAAGUCAAAUUCCAAGUCCAACAUGUAUAAUUUAUCUGAUUACUACAGCAUACUCCAAAUUCAGAUUUCAUUUAAUAUGUUAAUCAAUAAACUCGAGCUAAAUAUGAUAUAUCAAAUCCAAAACUAUACAUGUCUACUAUGCAUAUGCUCAGGAGGCAAAACCGAUGAUAAACCCACCUCAAUUGCUCUUUCCUGGCAGCAAGGAGGUCUCGGAGAUGCUGAAAACUCAGCCGAACUCCCUCUCAACCAGCAAGGGUCUUCAAUCCAGCCCUGAACCUCCGAAUCCACUAAAAUUCCAUCAAGAUGCCACAAUCAACACAAAUUUCAGCACUUAAGCUAAAUUACCCCAACUCCAAUGUCAAAACUCACCUAAUCACAUCCAAAUCUGGUAAGGAGGGUCUAAAAUCCAGUGGAGUAGGAUGGAGUAUGUGUCUCAGGUCCAAAAACACCCUGCCUCCAAAGAUAGCACCAAGAAAAACCCAAAAAUCAGAUUUUCAGCUCAAAGUCAGCAAUAGUUCAGAAAAAUAUGGAAUCGACCAAGAUAAACUCAACCAAAAUUUGAAAUUCUGGGCUUCGUGGAUUUCUCUAGAAGUCUAGAAUCCAGCAAACCAAGUUUCACCGCAAUCCGACCUUCCUACGUCGCACACGAGCCAAAACACCGAAGGUCGUUGCUGGAAAACUAUAGAAUCAGCACUCCACCACUCUCCAAUUGAAAGGUCGGAUGCAAAUUGAGGAAAUCUGAGGGUUGGAAAAGCAAUUUGAGGCUUCUCUGUGAAGAACAGGUGAAAAGAGUCCACUGUGGUCGAACACCACCUAUUUAUAGGGUGUUAAAAUGGUAGAAUAAGCCCCAAGAAUAGUUGCUGCAAAGCUGGUACCCCUGGAGAAAUCCCCACUUUCGGGCGCCCAAAACCUAUUUCUGGGCGUCCGAAUCCUCCUGGCUGCACUACAGUUGCGCUUCGGUUCCAUCGCCGCGGUGUGCUGCGCCCAUAACCGGCUCCGGCGGACCUCACAAACCACCAGCCACGUGUCAGUGCAAACGAUACUCACGAGGUGAACUUUUCGGACCCACAUUCGGGCGCCCGAAACAUGGACCCGAAUUGGCUUCUAGUUCUGCUCAGUUCUGUACUCAACUUCUAGGCGACCCAAAGCCAGUUCUGGGCGCCCGAAUCUAGCAAAACUCUAGUUUUAUUUAGUUGAGUGCGCCGAGUCCAUUUCUGAAUCCAUUUCACGCAGAAAUGACUCCGACUUAGUCCGACACUCUCAACAUGUGUCGACUAGUCACCAACACUGAAGCCAAUCCUAUCCAAAGCUCAGAAGCACUACAGACCGUAUAGGUCAUCAAUAGUCCAACCGAUCAUGUAGGUCACGAUAACAAUGCAGUAAGCUGACCGAAUAGGUCACAGAUACGAGAUACGAGAACCGACCAGCUAGGUCGUAAUAGCAGAUGCCACGCACUAAUCGACUAGGUCAUAUAUCUCACCAAUAAUCAUGAAACCGCUCUACUUGUAAACAUAAUAUAGGAUAUGCAAAAGAGCUAAGUAGAGCAAUAAAGAAACAUAGUAUAGGUGCUAGGCUCAAUAUAUAAUAUGCCAGAUAAACAACAAGAAAGAAGAACCACUGUACCAACUUCGGGUCGAAGUACCCACCUGUACGUGAACGACACUGGUCUCCGGACUGUGGAGAAGAAUCAACCGGACCUACGAAGGGUCCACCGGGUUAGCAUCCAACCCACAACAUGAACCACUAACUCACAAUCCCCACCAAUAAACUUACGGGAAUCGGUUUCCCAAAACCGAUUGCCGUAACUCACCGGAAGUAUUGAAAAUCGCAUUGGGACUCCGCCGGGACCCACGAACUAUCUCGAAACUCACCGACUUGAGCUACGAGUCACCCGCUGCCACAAAACUCAACUAUUCAUGUGACUUGGCAGCGAACACAUCUCCUCACAUCGAAACAAUUAUCGUCGAAAAAUCGUUCCGAUCCGGGUUCUCGAAAGUGUAAAUUCGACACCGGAACCCCCCGUCGCUCACCCAUCGUUUCUGAACCCUCGAAACAACACGAGUGACCAACCAAUAAGGCUCAGCGACUAAACAAUUUAAUACGAGACACCGUCGGAAAAAUUUCGAACCGAAAUCACGUUCCAUCGGCGGAUUUCGCCGGAAAAUGCACUGGAAAUCAACCUUUGAUUUUCGAAAAGGCCCAGGGCCUUGGACAACCAGUCCGAGGUCACCCGCUGCCCGCACACGCUGCCAACAGUUGCCACGCUAUGUACAAUUGGAUAAAAACCCCCGCGACUACAUAAAAUCACAUCAUUUUAUGUGAUUUUUGGGGUUUUACGUCCCGACAGCGCAACUUGAGGGUAUUUUAGCUAGGCCAAGACACCCGACAGGUCUCGAUGUGCCGGAGGCCGUGCUCACACUUCGGAGCACUGCUGGCCACUGUGGUGCGCGCGCGAGCGAUGCAAACUUCAGCGAAACAGCGCGCACAGUGUCUAAACUGCAUUUAAUACGCAUACUGGUACUUCGUUGACCCAAAUGGAGGUGAGCACGAUGUUCGGCACGGAUCAGAGAUCAUCGUGCUCACUUCCUGGGGUGUCGGGGUGUCUCUGAAUCACCGGUAAAGCGACCGGAACCCAAAAUAGUGCACAGACUGUUAAUAAAAGGCUUACCGGAGCAAGGUAGGGCACGGGGCGGCCGGACGGCCGGCGCUCCGGCAGGGAGAGGUCGCGGCCAGUCAAAGAGGGCCCAGGCACCCACUGGCCGGUGGCGGGAGGCGGCUGGUGGCGCAGCAGAGAGCCACAAGCAUGCACAGCUCGGCUCGGCUCAAGGAGGCAGCGGCGACCAGGCGGCGGCUGGAGGAGCUUCGGGGCGACGGCGGCCGGUCGCUAGAGGCUCAGGGAAGGCAGUGCGGCCGGCGGUGGGCGGCGGCGGCGCACAGAGGCCAAGUUGGCCUCGGCUCAACCCGCACUGGUUCUGGGCGGUCGCAGUAAGUUAGGACGGCUGCCGGCGGCCACGAGGACGACGGCGAUGGCGCGCUGGAGGUCGCCGGCGGCCAAUAGAAGGCGGCACGGCUCGAUCCAGCCGAAGGAAGCUCACGGGCCUCGAGCUAGGCCGAGCUUGGCCAAACUGGGACCGGGUUGGCCGCAGCAAGCACCGUCGGCGCCGGCGGCGCACGGGGGCGGCGAGGGUCAGUGAGGAUGACGCCGGAGAUUGGUCUCGGCCAGAGGAAUGCGAUCACCCAGGGUUUGGAUGACUUCUUGAGACCAAUCGCCGAUGUGGUGGAGACAAGAUGGAUGGAGGAGUUGAGAGGNUCACCCAGGGUUUGGAUGACUUCUUGAGACCAAUCGCCGAUGUGGUGGAGACAAGAUGGAUGGAGGAGUUGAGAGGGAGGUCGAGGUGGCUUUUACGGCAGCCGGGAGUGCUCGCCGGUGGCCAAGGCGUGCGCACGAGUAGGGUAGAAGGGUGCUGCAACGGCUAGGGUUAGCUGGGUGGACAAGGGUGUAUUAAAUCUAGGGUUUCGUGCAUUGAAACCCUAGAUGCACUUUAUAUACUAAGUGCACUUUUGCAGAAAAGCCCCCCAAGGCUGAUUAUUUUCAAUCCAGUCCCUGCUAGCGCGUGCAUCUUGCGCGUAAGCACCCCAACGUUCGAAAUCGCGCAAAACGGUACAUAAAAUAUUAGGCUUUUCGCAAUUUUUCCUUUUUGCCAAUUUUGACCCCUCUGCAAACAAUUCGCGAUUCCUGGAGAUCCGUCCGUUGGAUUUUCGAUCGGAUCACACCAGCGCGUUGAGCACGACUGGAGCAUCAAAUCUACCAUUUCAUUUCGUCCGAUUUGGUUGCCGAUUUGCGACAAAACCAACCCUCUCUAUGAUCCACAACAUAUCCACAUAUAUAUAUACACAUAUAUAUACAAUUUGUAUUUAAAUUUCAAAUUCCAAAUUCGGAUUUCCUUUAUUAUAAAAUCUCGGGUAUUACAUCAUUCCCCCCUUACAAGAAGUUUCGUCCUCAAAACUUAAAUCAAGCAUCUCCUGCAAACAACUGCGGAUAUCGCUCCCGAAUGGAUGACUAGCUCCUAUGUAGCCUCGCGCUCCUCGUGAUUUUCUCACCGAACUUCAACAUACAGAAUGCUCCUGUUCCGCAACUGCUUCACCUCAUGUGCCAAAAUCUGCAAUGGAGCCUUAUAAUAGCUCAAAUCCUCUCGCAGCUGCAUAGACGUCGGGCUGAUGACGUGAGACGGAUCCGAGAUAUACUUCCGAAGCAUGGGCACAUGAAAAAUAUUGUGCACUCGGGGGAGACUUGGAGGAAGAGCCAAUCUGUACGCCACCAGACCAACGCGCUCCAGGAUGUCAAACGGUCCCACGAAUUGCGGACUAAGCUUGUUCCGCAAACUGAGCUGCUUGAUCCCCCUGGAUGGCGACACCUUGAGCAACACAUGCUCACUGACUUGAAACUCCAGGUCACACCUCCGCUAAUCCGCAUAGCUCCUUUGUCGACUCUGUGCAGUCGAAAGCCGCUCUCUCGCAAUGCGGGUCUUUGCCUCUGCAUCCUCCACUAAGUUUGGCCCGAUCAACCAGCGUUCUCCAACAUCGUCCCAACAGAUAGGAGACUGACAUCAAUGCCCAUACGAAGCCUCGUACGGUGCCAUCCCGAUGCUCGCCUGAUAGCUAUUAUUAUAGGCGAACUCCACCAGCAGUAGAUACCGAAACCAUCCAUCACCAUAAUCCAGGACGCAUGCGCGAUGCAUGUCCUCAAGAGUCUGAAUGACUCGCUCUGACUGACCGUCGCUCUGGGGAUGGAACGCCAUACUGAAGUUCAGCUUCGUACCCAUAGACUACUGUAAUCUCCUCCAAAACUGGGAUACGAAGCAAGUGUCCCGAUCUGAUACGAUCCACACCGGCACACUAUGAAGCCGGACGAUCUCGCCAAUGUACAACUAUGCCAGUCGAUCACGGGACUACAUAGUGUGCAUCGGCAGGAAGUGAGCCGAUUUCGUUAGCCGAUCUACUAUAACCCAGAUCGCAUCAUGGCCCUGCUGUGAUCGAGGCAAUCCGAUGACGAAAUCCAUAGUAAUCUGCUCCCACUUCCACACAAGUAUCGAAAGUGGUUGCAGCUUUCCUGUCGGCCGCUGAUGCUCGGCCUUCACCUAUUGACAAACCAAGCACCGAGCCACGUGUUGUGCUACGUCAAGCUUCAUCUCAUGCCAUCAGGAAUUCUGUUUCAAGUCGCGAUACAUCUUGGUUCUGCCUGGGUGAACAGUGUAAGGGAUCGGUGUGCCUCAGAUAGGAUGUCAUUUCUCAGCUCCGAGUCACUAGGCACGCAACACCUGCCUCUGAAGCGCAGAGAUCCAUCAGUGUGGAUAGAGAAGUCGCCAUCCUUGCCCUGCUUGAUCUCCGCCCGCACUUUCUGUAAGUACGGGUAACUCUGCUGUCCGAGCAAAAUCCGCUCAGUCAAGGUAGGCUGUACCACUAGGGUCAUAAAUUGGGUCGUGGCCCCGGUGGAAACAACCUCUAUCUCGAGACGGCGGAACUCCUCCACAAGACGAUCCUGACUCGUGAUCAUGAAGGACAAUCCAGCUGAAAACUGUUUCCGGCUCAAGGCUUCCGCCACCGCGUUCGCUUUUCCCGGAUGAUACUGAAUCGUGAGAUCGUAGUCCUUCAAGAGUUUGUCACGCCCUGGGGUCCCUUUUAGUUUGAAACAAAGCGGAAAAGCGUCUAGAUUUUUUUUUUUUUUAAGCCUAACCCCAGGGUAUGCCAGAUCCGCCGCAAAUACAGAAAAUUCACUGUUCACACGGACAGAGUCUCCCCUGUAUUUGCACGGCGUCGCACAAGUACAAAAUUACAAACAGAGUAUAACCAGGAUACAACCACAAUACAUAAAUAUACAAUACUCAACAUUCAUUCACCAUUCACCAGAUAUUUACCAGAUAUUUACCAUUCAGUGUUUAAACAUAGAAGCCACGAGAAAACUCUUUUGAAAGCUGUUUCCCACACGGAAACCUUUUCUUUUUAAAACACGCUACCACGAGGGGUAGAAAACUAUUUUUUCUUUUCACAAAAUCCACGAGUUCUAUAGUUUAUUCAAAAUCACAUAAAUUCGAAUAAUAUAAACCAACUAAACCAUGAAAUAUUAAAGCUAUUAAUAACAAAAGUAAAUAGGGUAGGAACUAAACCAACAAACUGAGUCGGAAGCUCUAGAUACCACUACGAACGUGCCUCGCGUCUCGUCCCACUACUCAUCGCCCGCGAUACCUGAAAAAUGGUGGGGGAGGUGAGAACAUGUAAACAUGUCUCCCCUCCCAGUGGGUACCGCAAGCCGAUGAAGGCGAGGAGUACUCACCAGAUCAGGAAAAGAUAAACAACAAUAUGGGUAAGUAAAAUACUAAAUACAGUAACAACAAUAAUGAACGAAAGAGAUAGAACUAUAAAUGAAAGCACAACUACUGCUACUGUAAUGAACAACUGAAAGUAUACAUGCAGCUAAACUAUAGUAGCAAGACAAGUGUAAAGAAAGAACUGAAAGUAUACAAACAACAACUACUACUAUAGCUAUAUGCGUCAAUCGAUCAAAAAGUCCAAAUAUACCCAAUCUGAAAUCUGCUGCUCUAUUGGUCUGCACCGCAAACCUCAAGCCUAUGCCACUACUACUCUCCAAUGUAUAUAAGCCCUCUAGGGCUCACGGGUUGACACCUGUAACCACUUUUCCGAAAGAGAACACUCCUUGCGGUGGAUCAGACCGCUAGUGUUCGUGAAAUGCGACGAGUAUCGGGCGGUCAAUGCUGAUAUGCUCAAAGGCCAAACGUCGGCAACCAGCCGACAAUCCUGCCCACAGGGCUCAUCGACCGUAUAGGUCAUCAACUGUAAGGAAGCACAAGAACUAACCACUCAGGUCAACUAGGAUGGGACAACAUCAACAUCCUCUCAAACAUAUGCAAAUACUGCUCAAUGAACCACAAGGACUGACCACUCAGGUCAACUAGGAUAUAUACAUAACGAAUCGACGAAUAGGUCAUCAGAGUGUAUCAAUAGAAUCCAGAACUACCGUCGGCCACUAGCCAACAAUCCAACCCCUCUAGGGUACAUCGACCACAGCGGUCAUCGAACGACAGAAGUCAAGGAACCGAUCGCAUGUGUCACAAAUACGGGAUACAAGAACAGACCAACCAGGUCACUAAUACGAAGUACGAGAACCAACCAACCAGGUCACUGAAACGAAGUACAAGAAUCGACCUACCAAGUCACUGAUAUGAAGUACAAGAAUCGACCAACAAGGUCCACAGAUACGCACAUAGAUAGAACCACUCUACCCCUAGUCAGGAUACUAAGCAUGUAAACAACGAGUAGAGUAUAAUAAAAUAACAUGGGUGCAAGGCUCAAUAUAUACUAUGCAAUAAUAACAACAGAAGAGUAAGGGUAAGAAACCAUCACCGAGCGUGCACCACUGUACCGACGUCGGAUCGAAGUACCCACCUGUACGAAUGUCGCGCCUGUCUCCUAACUGCGAAAGAACAUCAACCGGACCUACGGAGGGUCCAGCAGGUUAGUAUCUAACCCACGAAUAUAAAACACUAAAUGUACAACCCCACAAACAAUCCCACUAAGAUCGGUUUCAUAAAACCGACUACCGUAACUCGCCGAAGUCCCGAAAUUGCACUGGGACUCUGUCGGGACCCACGAACUGUCCCGAAUUGCACCGACUCAUGCCACGAGUCACUCGCUGCUACUAAAUACAAAUUUACGUGUGACUUGGCAGCAAAGACCUUAACUCACUCCGAAACGAUUAUCGUCGGAUAAUCGUUCCGAUCUGGGUUCCCGGAAGUAUUGAUUUCGACACCGGAACCCACCGUCGCGCACCCGUCAUUUCUGAACCCUCGAAAUGACGUGAGUGACAAGCCAACAAGGCUCAGUGACUCAACAAAUGCAAAUGAGGCACCGUUGGAAGAAUUUCGAACUAAAACCGCGUUCCGUCGACAGAUUUUGCCGACAAACGCACCAGAAAUGCAUUUCCAAUCUUCGCAAUGGUCUGGGGCCUUAGACAUUCAGUCCAGAGGUCACCCACAGCUCACCCAUGCUGCCAACAGCAGCCACGACAAAUCAAAUUGCAUAAAAGCCCUCCCGAUUCCAAGAAAUCACAUUAUUUCAUGUGUUUUUCGGGCUUUUAUGGUCCGUCUACGCAAACUAGAGGUCAAUCAGCCGAGCCAAGAUACCCACUUACAGGUUUCGACGUGCAGGAGGCCGUGCUCACCUUUCGGAGCACUGCCAACCCUUGUGGCAAGCGCACACACGACGCGAACCUCAGCGAAAUAGCGCGCACAGCGCUUACAUUGCGUCAAACUCGCAAACUAGGGCAUCGUUGACCCCAACGGAGGUGAGCACGAUGUUCAGCACGAAGUAAGAAUCAUCGUGCUCACUUCCUGGAUUAUCGGAGUGUCCUCGGACCACCAGAAAGGUGACCGGAAGCUCCCAACAGUAUGCUGGAGACCUUCGCUAGACUUACCAGAGCAAGGUAGGGCACGGGCGGCCGGCGGCGGCUGGACGUCGGGCGUGCCGACAGGGGAAGGUUUCUGGCGACGGAGGAAGGCCGGGGCGCGCGUUGGCCGGCGACAGAAGACGGCGUCGGCGACGGGCGAUGAUGCCCUAGCCACCUAACCCGAGGAGAGGACGACCCAGAUCCGGCCAACAGGGAGCUCCGGCGACAGGGAGGCCGGCGGCGAACGAGUGCGGCCGGCCAGGCGGAGCCUAUGCUCACGCCGACCGGCGGCGGUGCUGGGUGUGGCUCGGCCUGCAUAGACCUUGCGCGGCCGCAGGGAGAGGGAGCGACGGCGGCCACUGCGGCUACCGGAGGAGGGUCGAGGCGACGUCGUCACGUCGCCGGAGGCCGAGGAAGGGCGGCGCACCUUGCUGCGGGCGGUGGCGAUGCACAGUGGUCGAGAUGACCAGAUCUCGGCCCGCACAAGCCCUGGGCGGCCGCAGAGAGUCGGAGCGGCGGCCGGCGGCGUGCGGAGACGACAGGGCGGCGAGCGGGUGGUCACCGGAGGUACCAGGAGGGCAGCGCGACCAGCGAGGAGCAGCUGCGGCGCGCAGAGGCGGGAAUCACCCGGGCUCGGCCUGGGUGACUGCGGGUUGGCCGCAAGGAGCAAGGUGGCUCCGGCGGCGCACGGGGAAUUCCGGCGGCCGGAGGUACUCGCCGGCAGCCGGAGCAUGCGCACGGGGAGGGCAGGAUUGCAGGUGGGGCGGCUAGGGUUAGAUGAGUGGACAUGGGCAGCAAAAGGACCUUGGAAACCCUAGUUGCCACCUAUAUACUAGAUGCCAUUUUGCAAGAAACCCCCUCAAAGCCACAUAUUUUCAGUUAGGUCCCCUACCAGCACGUGCAUUAUGUGCAUAAGUCCCUCUACGUUCAAAUUCGUGCAAAACGGUGCAUAAAAUAUUGGGACUAUUGCGAAGUUCCCGAUUUGCCAUAAUCUACCCCUUUUCGGACAUCAUGCGAUAUCCGGCAAUCCGUUCAUCGGAUUUCCGAACGGAUUGCACCAUCGCGUUCAGCACAACGAAGGCAUCGAAACCACCAUUUCGUUUCUUCCGAUUUCGUCGCCGAUCCAUCCUCUCUCUAAUUAUUCCACACCAAACACAUGUACAAUUAUGUAAUCCCACUAAACCUUAAAUUCGCACUUGUAUUUGACUUCCCUACCACUAGUAGGGAUCCGAAACAUCCUUUAGCCUACUCUCGGUCACAAGCACGGAGCACGAGGAGCUUUAGAAUGCACGAAUAACAAAGAGCAAAAACCCCUUUUCGAUAAAAUCCCUUUUUCUCAAAAAUCGUGCGUCAGAUCUGAAAUCCGUCAGUGCCAUUGGUUCCAGAAUAGCUGAACCGAUCAAAACGAGCUAUUGGAUCGCUAUGAACGGAGUCCGAUACGCGCCGAAAGCCAACUCUACUCCGUGGCUUCACCGAAAAAAUCGGGUUACUAUUCACUUUAAGUGAAAACUAAUAAUCGCGUAUCUUCUCCAUUUUAGCUCAUUUUCUCCUGAAACUUGACGAGUGCUUAUGUAAUUAAAUUACACAUAGGAACAUCGUCAACAGAGAGUCUAAUUGCAUUGUCAAAAUCUCAGUCCUUACAGAGUUUGAGCCAACGCCUCUGCCUGAGGUUCAACUCCUUCUGUGUGAAGAGAUACUUUAGGCUGUGGUGAUCAAUGAACACCUCGCAGUGUGCCCUAUAUAGAUAAUGCCUCCAUAGCUUAAGGGCAAACACUACCGCCGCGAGCUCCAGAUCAUGAGUCGGGUAGUUCUUUUCAUACUCUUUUAGCUAUCGUGAGGCGUAAGCAUUGACCCGAUCCUGCUACAUAAGAACACACCCCAAACCGACCCGUGAGGCGUCGCAAUAGACCACGAAAUCCUCACCAGGGCACGGCAGAGUUAGAACGGGUGCGCGGGUCAGUCUAUCCUUCAGCUCAUUGAAGCUCUGCUGACACUGCGCAGUCCACUGAAAUCUUUCUCCUUUUCUAGUAAGUUUGUUCAGCGGUGCGACAAAUCGUCGAUAAUAACCCGCCAAACCCAGAAAACUCCUGACUUCAGUCACCGAAGUUGGUUCAGGCCAGUCGACUACUGAGGCGAUUUUCUUCGGAUCCACCAUAAUGCCUGAUGGAGUCACAAUAUGUCCCAAGAAAGAUACCUCGCGAAGCCAGGACUCGCACUUCUUGAGCUUAGCAUAUAACUUGUGCUCUCGAAGUAUCUGCAGUACUUGUCGGAGGUGAUCCUCAUGCUCCUCAUCACUCUGCGAGUAGAUCAGGAUGUCGUUAAUGAAGACCACGACAAACUGAUCGAAGUAUGCCCGAAAGACCCUAUUCAUCAUAUCCAUGAAGGCUGUCAGGACAUUGGUAAGCCCGAAUGGCAUCACCGUGAACUCGUAGUGGCCAUAACGUGUUCGCAAGGCUGCCUUCGGCACAUCUACAGCCCGGAUCUUAAGCUGAUAAUACCCAGAUUGAAGGUUGAUCUUAGAAUAUACCGACGAUCUCUGAAGCUGAUCGAAAAGAUCGUCAAUCCGGGGCAGUGGAUACUUGUUCUUCACCGUGACCUUAUUGAGCUCCCAGUAGUCGUUGCACAAUCGAAGACUACCGUCCUUCUUUUUGACGAAUAGGACUGGGACACCCCAGGGAGACACACUAGGUCGACUGAACCCUUUAUCCAGGAAACCCUCGAGCUGAGCCUUUAGCUCCUUCAGCUCAGCGAAGGCCAUGCGAUAGGGGGCCUUCGAGAUCGGUGCCGCGCCAGGAACUAGCUCGAUGAAGAACUCGAUCUCCCGGUCCGGAGGCAUCCCCAGAAUCUCUGUAGGGAAGACAUCCGGGAACUCGCGGACUACAGGAAUCUCCUUCAAUGGUGGUGCAGCUCGGCGGGUGACAUCCACGGAAGCCAGAUAGGCCGCACAUCCAGCAUUCAUGAGUCUUUUAGCUUUAGUAGAAGAGAUAGUAGCGGCAAAAUAGGAGCUCUUACAUCCUCGGUAUACAAACACUUCUUCACCGGGUUCAUUAAAUGUUACCGUCCUCCGCUCACAGUCGAUAGUAGUGUGGUGCCUGGCGAGCCAGUCCAUGCCAAGCACCACGUCGAGGUUCUUCAUCGGAAGUACCAAUAGAUUCGCCAGGAAAGACCGAUCAUCCAGAAUGACAGGGUAUAAUGGAAUGCACUGUUCAGCUUCUAGGUCACCUGCGGCCGUCUGAAUUCGGAUCGGUACAUCAAGUGGACUCGAGGGAAGACCAGGUUCUCAUGCAAUGAAUGCGAGACAAAUGAAUGGGAAGCUCUAGUGUCAAAAAUAGCUCUAGCACGAGAAAUGCAAAGGGUGACGAUACCUGCAAGGACGUCGCCACCAAUGCCGCUCUCGGGCUGAGUCAAGGUGAAGACUCGCCCACCAGAUGCCUGGCGCACCCCCUCGUUUUGGCGUGAGAAAGAGGGACGCCCAGACGAAGCAGCUGCACUUGAGGUUGCUUGGUUCUAUCGUGUAGCGACAGGGGAGGAAGCAGCACUCUGAGAAGCCCCAUCUUUCCUAGGGCACUGGGCUCGAAGAUGGCCCGGCUGGCCACAGUGAAAGCAGUAGUCCCUACGUUGCGGACAGGCAGUCACCUUAUGUGCUUGCCCGCAAAUAACACAGGAUCGAUCACCCUGUCGCUGACUGCUAGAAGGUGCAGUCCUAGCCGACUGUUGAGUGCGCGGAUGCUUCGGUGGCUUAUUGCUAAAAGAAGAGCCACCGCCAGAUUUGGCGUGGGAACGCUUCCUGUCCCCAGAUCUCUUAGAUGCAUCCCGAUCAGCUCGGACCUCCUCCAACUCGCUCUGCACGAUCAGAGCCCGAUCCAAACACUCGUCGAAGGAUAUCGCGCCGUGGGACGUGAUCAGUAGUCGAAUGUUGGGCCUCAACCCCCUUACGAACAGUCUGGCCUUAUAAUACUCAUCGCGUACCACGAAGGGGAUCAGCUCGACGAUGCCGGUGAAGUCGCGCUCGUACUCCGCAACUAUGCGGUUACCCUGCUUGAGGCGCUCCAGCUCACGCUCCAAGCUCUGCUUCGUGCUGUCCUUGAAGUAUUGCUCAUAGAGGAGUUUUCCAAACUCCUCCCAAGGCGGAUAGAUACUCGCAAGCUUCCUCUCGAAGUAGCGGAUCCACUACUGGUACGCCUCUCCCUCAAGGAAAUGAGUAGCUAGAGGGACACGAUCCUUCUCCUCGAUGUGGAGGUCCAGGAAUAGUUUCUCCAUGUGGGUGACCCAAUGCUCGACCACCCAGCUGUCAUUGCUCUUCCUGGCGAAUUUCGGCGGAUCGAAUUUUCGAAACUCCUCCAACUUCGCCCGAACGCGAGUGCCCUCCGCUCCAGCGGAAAUCGUCGUGGUGGCCGUGGCCGUCGUCGUCGUCGUGACAGUCUAAGCUGCAGCCGGUGCAGGCAUCACCGGAGGGUCCGCAGUCACCGGAGCAGUCUGCAUCGGAGGUGGAUCCGGGGGAGCAGCAGCUGCAGUCUGCUGCUGAAGAAACUGCUGGAACAUCCCAGAGAGGGCCAUCAGCUGAACCCUCAUCGCUGCUACCUCGGCCUCGAGCUGCUGGGUACGCGCAUCACCCAGCGGCUCAGGGCGACCUGCUCCCCACCACCUCUGCCCAUAGGGGUACGCUCUCCCGGUCCCCUAGAUGCUCCUGCACUGGCGCGUCCACUACCAUCACCCGGACGAGAAGGUGUACUACGAGCCAUCUGUAGCAGAAAACACCGUCAAGCGAAUAAUCGACUCGACAACUACACACCGAGACUCAAGCCCAAACCCCGCACUCACAUGCCUAUACACCAUAGGUUUUUCUAUGAGUCAACCUAACCAAUGGUUCAGUUUAUUUAUUUUUCAAAACAAUCUGUGAAUGGUGCCGUGGUUGUAGCUCGUCUCUGAUACCAUUUUAAUCUGUCACGCCUCGGGGUCUCUUUUUUAUUAUAAAUCACUACGGAAGUGCCCCAAAAAAAAAUUUUUUUUUUUGAAAAAUUUGACCCCCAGGGUAUGCCAGAUCUACCACAAAUACAGAGAAUCCACUGUUCACACAGACAAAGUCUCCCCGGUAUUUGCACGGUGUCGCACUAGUACAAUAUACACAAUACAUGAUAUAACCACCAUCUAUGAACAUACACAUAUUUAUCCACCAUUCACAUUCACAUUCACAUUCACAUUCAAAAUUUAUUCAUAAAUCCACAACUAUUAGUUUAAAAUGUUUCCUACCCAGAAACUCGUUUUAAAACAUUAAGUCAUGAAAAUCAAGAAAAAGCCUUUUUAAAAAUCAUUUUCCACACGGAAACCUUUUCCUUUUAAAACUUGCUACCACGAGGGGUAAAAAAUUAUUUUCAGUUUACAAGAAUCACAAAUCCUUUAUUAUAUUCAUAAAAUCCCAAUAAUUCAAUUCAUGUAAAAUACUAAACCAUAAAUGCUGUCUAUGUCAUUUAUUAAAAGCAACUGAGUUAAGAGUUAAACCAAAUGACAGGACGGUGGCUCUAAUGAUCGCUAAGUACGCUCAUUACGAUCCGUCCUAUUAGGACCCGCGACGCACCUGUAAUGGGGGUGGGGGGUGAGUGUUAGUUAUAUGCCCUAUAAGCCAAUCUUGUCAUAACUUAAAGGGUUAAUAUCAGUAUACUUUUCUUUUAUGAUUAAAUCUGGCAUUCUUCAUUCAUAUUAUUGCCGAAUGCAUAUUUAUGAAUCGUCCAUAGAAUUAAUAGUAGAAGAAUUAAAUUUCUAAGAAGUUAGAAAUUUGAGACUUUUAUUCUUCUGUAAUUAAUUCUUAAAUGCUCCUGAUCAUAGGAUUAUUACGAGGGCGGUGGUAAAUCCGGAUAGAUCAGUGUAUGCUGUACUUCUUUUAUGGGAUGACGAGUCUCAAGUCAUUAGUGUGGUGACACUAGAGUAAGCAUACAGGUGAAUGUUGGAGAACAAUUUCACUGAGCGUGACCAACUAUAAACAAUCACAUGAAUGUCUACUCACUCGUCAGUGAAUUGUUCCGUACUGUAGUAGUGUGAGUGAUCCUUUGACCUGAGGCACCACGGUUAUCUUGCGUGUGGGUUAUUGUAGUUUGACUGUGUAAAUACUUNACGGUUAUCUUGCGUGUGGGUUAUUGUAGUUUGACUGUGUAAAUACUUAUACCCUAAUCAUGGGUUAAGUCAACACAUGUUGGCUGCAGUGGGUCAUACGUGGAGGUAGGUGUGUGUCAAGAUGGAAUCUAUCACCCUCGGUAGAGAGGUAAUUGUCCUAUGCUAUCUGUUUUACAAGUCCUUGGCCAAGGCAGUGUGAUUUUAUGGAAAAGAGUUUCUAUAUUAGUUGUUAAUCAGAUAAGACAUAUGAUUGAGUAAUGGGGUUUGACGAGUUAUCCAUAACCUCGACUCAAUCGGGACAAGUGAUAGAAGGAUUUUAUCACACGGUAAUUCUACUUGGAUUGCCGCGAUAUACGGCUAGGUGUCACUCGUGGAUUGUGGGACCCAUGAGAGUAAUUAAGAUAGUUAAUUACACUCAGUUGGGAGAGCCAAAAAUGUUUUGGUCCAUCGAGAAGAGUUCCGAUGGUGACAUUAAAAGAGUUUACUGUCACAUCUCACUACCAGGUAGAAUUGAACCUAUGUGGUCACACACAAUAAAGGCUGCGUGUGAUCUAGUGCUUGGAGAAUUAAUAGAGACUAUUUUGCUAAAGUAGCAAAGCCAGAAUUUACUUGCUAAAUUGAUUAGCAAGAAGGACCAAUUUGUAAAAUUUUAGAGUUAAUGCAAUUGUUGCAUACGGUGCACUUGCGCUGAAGUUACUAAAAGGAGUUUACGAUCUUUCUCUCAUCAACUCCUCAAUUAAUAAAGAUUAAUUGAGGAAGUUACAAAGUGAAAUUAAACGAGGAAGGGAGAAGACCAAUCGAACUCAUACGUUCACUUACCCUAUUAAUGAUAUAGUUAAUAAAGUGAAAAAUGAAAACCUCCUCUUCUCUCUUUCUCCACUCGUUUCUCUUCACUCCACCUAUUAAAUGAGAGAAAUUGACUUCCUAUCAUUUAUGGUGGUAGUUUCUUCUCUCCUCUUUGCGAACAAUGAGAGGAGUUUGAUUCCCACUCAUUCAUGGCAUUUAAGCCUAUAAAAGGAGAUGUAAUCCUCCUCAAUGAAAAGUGUGAUUUGUAAAAAAAAAUAUGAGAGAAAGAUAGAUAGUUUUAAUCAUAUAUAGAAUUCUCUUUUAAUCAUAAGAGAGAGGUCCUUUUAUAUUAAUUUGUCUCUAUUGUUAUUCCUCUUCAAAUUGCUAGCACAAUUUUGAAGAUUAAUUUUUCUCUACAUUAACACAAGAGAUCACGAAAGGAGUUUCGAGAUUACACUGUGAUUGUGUGAAGCACAGAUCCCGGAGCAGCCUUGUGUGGAUACACAUAGAGGCCGAACACUUGUGCGGCUAAAAGGACCAGAAGUUCAGAUCCACAUCAACCGUGAAAUAAUUUCGGUAAUUUGCACAGGUUGAAAUUCGAACCCUUCUUCUAAUUAGAUUAGAAUAAUAAUUUUGUGUGUCACACGAGAUGAUCUUGAUACAUAUAUAUACUAAUAUCAUAAAUGUUAUGAUAUUAAAGUAUACAUGAUUGGAUCAUAUUUUAUAAAUAAAAUUUAAUUCCGCUGCAUUAAAUGCACAUGCAUAUGCGCACAUUUACUUACAGAGAGAACAUGUACACAUGUCUCCCCUCCCAGUGGAUACCGCAAGCCGACGAGGGCGAGGGGUACUCACCAGUCAAAGAGAAUAAACAACAGUAUGGGUAAGUGUAAACAGUAGCAACGAUAAUACAGAAACGAGAUGUAUAAAUUAAUAACUACUGCUACUGUAUGUAUGCAUCAACCGAACGACAAGUCCAAAAAUAUCCAAUCUGAAACUGCCAUAUUGGUCCGCACACCUCAGUCCUGUGUCACAACUGCUCUAAUCUGUAACUGACCCCAGCAUAAGCUCUUGGGUUUAAAAACAUAUAACCCCAGUAUAAGCUCUUGGGCUCACCGGCUGGCACACCCAACCACUUUUCCGAAAAAAAACACUCUCUUGCGGUGGAUCAGACCGCUGGUGUUCGUGAAAAGCGUACGAGCAGUGGCGAUCGAUGCUUAUAUGCUCAAUAGCCAACCAUCGGCAACUAGCCGACAAUCCUACCCCUUAGGGUAUACCUACCGCAUAGGUCAUCAAUAGGGGUAGUCGAUAUUUGAUUUUUACUCUAGAUACAUAUAUGCUAGAGUAAAAAGGUUCAUGAUAAACUUGGUAUGUAUGGUUCAUAAGAUUUGGGUAUUGGUUCAUGAGAUUUGGUGUAUAGGAUUUGAAUAUGCUUUAGUUUAUGAGGUUUAGGUAUAGUUCAUAUGAAAUUUGAAUAUAGUUUGGUGUAUGACUCAUAAGAUUUGAUGUAUGGUUCAUGGGAUUUGGUUAUGAACUUGGGUAUGGUUCAUGGGAUAUGAUGUAUGGUUCAUGAGAUUUGGUUUAUUGUUCAUGAGGUUUGAUUUAUGGUUCAUAAGGCUUGGUAUAUUGUACGUGAGGUUUGGUUUAUGGUAUAUGAACUUGGGUAUAAUUCAUAGGUGUGGUUCACGGUUCAUGAGAUUUGUGUAAGGACGGAGAUUUGACAGAGUAGCUAAACUCUUUGUUAAUGAUGUUUUUGUGUGUAAUUUAAUUACAUAACCACUCGACAAGUUUUAGGAGAAAACAAGUUAGAAUGGAGAAGUUAUGCGACCUUUACUAAUCACUUAAAGUGAAUAGUA
This 21237-nucleotide long non-coding RNA is filed under the name Ananas comosus (pineapple). Its description in RNAcentral is "long non-coding RNA (ACOM_LNC005229)". Lineage: Eukaryota; Viridiplantae; Streptophyta; Magnoliopsida; Poales; Bromeliaceae. The record is from RNAcentral.